Molecule: ribosomal RNA, 443 nt
Filed under: uncultured bacterium
Lineage: Bacteria
Description: partial 16S ribosomal RNA
Rfam family: Bacterial small subunit ribosomal RNA
Source: RNAcentral
CCUACGGGAGGCAGCAGUGGGGAAUAUUGGGCAAUGGAGGAAACUCUGACCCAGCAACGCCGCGUGAAUGAUGAAGGUCUUCGGAUUGUAAAGUUCUUUUCUAAGGGAAGAAGAAAGUGACGGUACCUUAGGAAUAAGCCUCGGCUAACUACGUGCCAGCAGCCGCGGUAAUACGUAGGCGGCAAGCGUUAUGCGGAAUGACUGGGCGUAAAGGGUGCGUAGGGGGUUUGACAAGUUGGUAGCGUAACUCCGAGGCUUAACCUCGGCACUAUUACCGAAACUGUUGGACUCGAGUGCAGGAGGGGCAAAUGGAAUUCCUAGUGUAGCGGUGGAAUGCGUAGAUAUUAGGAGGAACACCAGUGGCGAAGGCGAUUUGCUGGACUGUAACUGACACUGAGGCACGAAAGCGUGGGGAGCAAACAGGAUUAGAUACCCGGGUAGUC